RNAcentral lists this ribosomal RNA (499 nucleotides) under uncultured bacterium. RNAcentral describes it as "partial 16S ribosomal RNA". It matches the Rfam family "Bacterial small subunit ribosomal RNA", at positions 30 to 523 of the family's 1533-position model. The record is from RNAcentral.
AUUGAACGCUGGCGGAAUGCUUUACACAUGCAAGUCGAACGGCAGCACGGACUUCGGUCUGGUGGCGAGUGGCGAACGGGUGAGUAAUGUAUCGGAACGUGCCCAGUCGUGGGGGAUAACGUAGUGAAAAUUACGCUAAUACCGCAUACGAUCUAUGGAUGAAAGGGGGGCAUCGCAACACCUCGCGCGGUGGGAGCGGCCGAUAGCAGAUUAGGUGGUUGGUGGGUAAAGGCCCACCCAGCCAACGAUCUGUAGCUGGUCUGAGAGGACGACCAGCCACACUGGAACUGAGACACGGUCCAGACUCCUACGGGAGGCAGCAGUGGGGAAUUUUGGACAAUGGGCGCAAGCCUGAUCCAGCCAUUCCGCGUGCAGGAUGAAGGCCCUCGGGUUGUAAACUGCUUUUGUACAGAACGAAAAGGUUUCUACUAAUACUAGGAGCUCAUGACGGUACUGUAAGAAUAAGCACCGGCUAACUACGUGCCAGCAGCCGCAGUAA